RNAcentral lists this ribosomal RNA (592 nucleotides) under uncultured bacterium. Its description in RNAcentral is "bacterial SSU rRNA". It matches the Rfam family "Bacterial small subunit ribosomal RNA", at positions 78 to 667 of the family's 1533-position model. The record is from RNAcentral.
GCUUGCAACUGAUGACGACCGGCGCACGGGUGCGGAACGCGUAUCGAACCUGCCCCCUUCAGGGGAAUAGCCCAGAGAAAUUUGGAUUAAUGCCCCAUGGCACCACGGAGUCGCAUGACACUGUGGUUAAAGAUUUAUCGGAAGGGGAUGGCGAUGCGUAUCAUUAGCUGGUUGGUAAGGUAACGGCUUACCAAGGCAACGAUGAUUAGGGGCCCUGAGAGGGGGAUCCCCCACACUGGUACUGAGACACGGACCAGACUCCUACGGGAGGCAGCAGUGAGGAAUAUUGGACAAUGGCCGGAAGGUUGAUCCAGCCAUGCCGCGUGCAGGAUGACUGCCCUAUGGGUUGUAAACUGCUUUUAUACGGGAAGAAACCUCCCCACGUGUGGGGAGCUGACGGUACCGUAAGAAUAAGGACCGGCUAACUCCGUGCCAGCAGCCGCGGUAAUACGGAGGGUCCGAGCGUUAUCCGGAAUCAUUGGGUUUAAAGGGUCCGUAGGCGGGCCUGUAAGUCAGGGGUGAAAGGCCACGGCUCAACCGUGGGACUGCCCUUGAUACUGCAGGUCUUGAGUCGUUGUGGAGUUGCCGGAAC